GCCAAUCUUGCAAAAGAAAUUUGUCUUGUAUGGAAAGUGAAUGAUUGGGUUGCUGUUGCAUAUGAAAAACAAUGGAAUAUUGGGUAUAUUGUGGAGGUAUCUAUAACUGGGAUCAGAGUUAAUUGUAUGAUUAACGGGCAAGAGAAGAAUACUUUUUGCUGGCCAGUUACUACCGAGGAGAUAAAUAACCAAACUGAUAAAAUUAUCUGUUUAGUAAAUGCUCCUUUUCUAAUCAGUGGUUGUGGCGAUUAUUCAUUAUCCGAAGAAGACUAUAAUACAGUCAUAUCAUUAUUCUUAGAGAAACUUACUGCAGCAGAGUAAAAAUUAUGUGUGAUGUGGUGGAUAAUGUGUGUAAAUGACUCUAUUAAUAAAUGAAAAACUAAUUUUUAAAUGGAAAAACAUUUAAAUGUUUGAUUUAUGUUUUAUUUAAUUAGCAAUAUAGUUAUCUUGAUGUUA
Molecule: long non-coding RNA, 456 nt
Organism: Hydra vulgaris (swiftwater hydra)
Lineage: Eukaryota; Metazoa; Cnidaria; Hydrozoa; Anthoathecata; Hydridae
Source: RefSeq, a predicted model, not a curated record